AUUGAACGCUGGCGGCAGGCCUAACACAUGCAAGUCGGGCGGUUGAGAGUAGCUUGCUACUUGAUGCAGCGGCGGACGGGUGAGUAACGCGUGGGAAUCUGCCCAGUAGUGGGGGACAACAGCCGGAAACGGCUGCUAAUACCGCAUACGCCCUACGGGGGAAAGGGGGGGAUCUGCGGACCUCUCGCUAUUGGAUGAGCCCGCGUCGGAUUAGGUAGUUGGUGGGGUAAAGGCUCACCAAGCCAACGAUCUGUAGCUGGUAUGAGAGGACGACCAGCCACACUGGAACUGAGACACGGUCCAGACUCCUACGGGAGGCAGCAGUGGGGAAUUUUGGACAAUGGACGCAAGUCUGAUCCAGCCAUUCCGCGUGCAGGAUGAAGGCCCUCGGGUUGUAAACUGCUUUUGUACGGAACGAAAAGGUCUCUCUUAAUACGGGGGACUCAUGACGGUACCGUAAGAAUAAGCACCGGCUAACUACGUGCCAGCCGCCGCAGUAA
Molecule: ribosomal RNA, 500 nt
Filed under: uncultured bacterium
Lineage: Bacteria
Description: partial 16S ribosomal RNA
Rfam family: Bacterial small subunit ribosomal RNA
Source: RNAcentral